CCUACGGGUGGCAGCAGUGGGGAAUAUUGCGCAAUGGGCGAAAGCCUGACGCAGCGACGCCGCGUGAGGGAUGAAGGUCUUCGGAUCGUAAACCUCUGUCAGGAGGGAAGAAGUGGUUAUAUGCGAAUAGUGUAUGACUUUGACGGUACCUCCAAAGGAAGCACCGGCUAACUCCGUGCCAGCAGCCGCGGUAAUACGGAGGGUGCGAGCGUUAAUCGGAAUCACUGGGCGUAAAGCGCGCGUAGGCGGCUUUUCAAGUCAGGGGUGAAAUCCCACGGCCCAACCGUGGAACUGCCUUUGAAACUGUAGAGCUUGAGUGUCGGAGAGGGUGGCGGAAUUCCAGGUGUAGGAGUGAAAUCCGUAGAUAUCUGGAGGAACACCGGUGGCGAAGGCGGCCACCUGGACGACAACUGACGCUGAGGUGCGAAAGCGUGGGUAGCAAACAGGAUUAGAUACCCCAGUAGUC
RNAcentral lists this ribosomal RNA (466 nucleotides) under uncultured bacterium. Its description in RNAcentral is "partial 16S ribosomal RNA". It matches the Rfam family "Bacterial small subunit ribosomal RNA", at positions 338 to 795 of the family's 1533-position model. The record is from RNAcentral.